AGGGAAUUAGUCUAAUGGCAAAACAGUGGGCUCCAAACCCAUAUAUGAGAGUUCGAUUCUUUCAUUCCCUGUCA
This 74-nucleotide transfer RNA is filed under the name Apilactobacillus kunkeei. Its description in RNAcentral is "tRNA-Trp". It matches the Rfam family "tRNA". Rfam says of the family: Transfer RNA (tRNA) molecules are approximately 80 nucleotides in length. Lineage: Bacteria; Bacillati; Bacillota; Bacilli; Lactobacillales; Lactobacillaceae. The record is from RNAcentral.